CGGGCCGGCGUGGCGGAAUGGCAGACGCGGAGCACUCAAAAUGCUUUGUCCGAAAGGGCGUGUGGGUUCCGGUCCCGCGCGGCCCGA
Molecule: transfer RNA, 87 nt
Filed under: Microbacterium sp. NIBRBAC000506063
Lineage: Bacteria; Bacillati; Actinomycetota; Actinomycetes; Micrococcales; Microbacteriaceae
Description: tRNA-Leu
Source: RNAcentral